CAGCUGUGAGCAGCCGAGCGCCCAAAGCAGCAGCAACGUUGAUACUGGCGUCGGAACCGGAGAGCGCAAGUUUACACACGGACCCCAAUCCCCGUGGAAAUGUGACUUUCUGCGUUACAUAUAAGUGUGACUACAAGCUGGAAAUGCAGUAAAUUUCCAUCCCUCCCUCGUAAAGAAGCAUUACGUCCCACUUCUUGCAAACAGAGAACCAUGGAAACAGCAAACACUGUAGAAAGUGGUCCUCCAUGUUUCCUUUUUAAUGAUUGUCUCUUGAAAAAUGCAUCAUGAAAGGAAGAAGAGGAGAAGCACAAAUAAGGUUUGAGAAGAGCUGGUGAGCCUCCAGAGGGGAAGAGAUGGGAGA
This is a long non-coding RNA of Astatotilapia calliptera (eastern happy), 361 nucleotides long. Lineage: Eukaryota; Metazoa; Chordata; Actinopteri; Cichliformes; Cichlidae. The record is from Ensembl.